UUGCCAGAGUUUUUGAGCUUUGGAUUUGAUUGGGAGGUGGAGCCUCCUUCUCAGUGUGAGUUCGGUUAGGCCCUAUAGAGGUUCUUUCCUUCAUCUUCUUCCUCUUUUGAUCUUUACCUUUGGAUUGGCACUGGUCAGUCGCACCUUUCUCAAUGUGGAUGUAUUUCUACACACGCUCGAGGAGUUCGACGUAGGAUCGAAAAAGCAUCU
Molecule: long non-coding RNA, 210 nt
Filed under: Elaeis guineensis (African oil palm)
Lineage: Eukaryota; Viridiplantae; Streptophyta; Magnoliopsida; Arecales; Arecaceae
Description: long non-coding RNA (EGUI_LNC012643)
Source: RNAcentral